This 213-nucleotide long non-coding RNA is filed under the name Lathyrus oleraceus (garden pea). Its description in RNAcentral is "Pisum sativum (pea) long non-coding RNA (PSAT_LNC000273)". Lineage: Eukaryota; Viridiplantae; Streptophyta; Magnoliopsida; Fabales; Fabaceae. The record is from RNAcentral.
UUUAUUUUAUGUGAAAACAAAUACUAUUAUUCUUAUUUAAAAUUUCUAAUAAAUAUACUUAAAUAAAUUCUAAUUACUUUAGUUGAAUAAUUAACCUAGCAAAAAUAGUGAUCGAUUAUAAAUAGAAGCCGGAUAUAAAUUUGCUCAAACAAUUAAGUUGGGCACACUAAAAUGAUCAGCAUAAAAUAUACUUAUUGAAAAAAUACAGUGUUU